Molecule: ribosomal RNA, 253 nt
Filed under: uncultured bacterium
Lineage: Bacteria
Description: partial 16S ribosomal RNA
Rfam family: Bacterial small subunit ribosomal RNA
Source: RNAcentral
UACGGGGGGGGUAAGCGUUGUUCGGAAUUACUGGGCGUAAAGGGCUCGUAGGCGGCCAACUAAGUCGGACGUGAAAUCCCUCAGCUUAACUGGGGAACUGCGUCCGAUACUGGAUGGCUUGGAUUUGGGAGAGGGAUGCGGAAUUCCAGGUGUAGCGGUGAAAUGCGUAGAUAUCGGGAGGAACACCUAUGGCGAAGGCAGCUCGCUGGGACGUUACUGACGCUGAGACGCGAAAGCGUGGGGAGCAAACAGG